UGUGUGUCCCUGUGUUUUUGUUCAGCAUAUUCCCAAAGACUGAUAGGAAGGUGCAAAAAAUAAAUUCUCUUUUGCAACCUAGAAGCCUCUAUUUGCCAUGAGUUUUGACAACUGUGGAAUGGGGUAAU
Molecule: non-coding RNA, 128 nt
Organism: Fukomys damarensis (Damara mole-rat)
Lineage: Eukaryota; Metazoa; Chordata; Mammalia; Rodentia; Bathyergidae
Source: Rfam